AAGCAUCGUGUCCUUGACCUUGCUGGCCAAGUGCUGCUGGGCGACGUCGAGCGUAAACCGUCCCUUUGUUCCAAGUGGUAUGGCGCGCAUGCCCAAUCCGCCUUUCUUUAACGCCAGCAUCCCACAGGAUCUGUGACGCUUCUGNNCUGGCCUUCGAUCAUCGCGCGUAUUGAAACAGUCACCCUCCAAGAAACACAGGCACCAGAUCCUCCUC
Molecule: unclassified non-coding RNA, 214 nt
Filed under: Hevea brasiliensis (rubber tree)
Lineage: Eukaryota; Viridiplantae; Streptophyta; Magnoliopsida; Malpighiales; Euphorbiaceae
Source: RNAcentral